Molecule: non-coding RNA, 74 nt
Organism: Weissella koreensis KACC 15510
Lineage: Bacteria; Bacillati; Bacillota; Bacilli; Lactobacillales; Lactobacillaceae
Source: Rfam
GGACCUUUAGCUCAGUUGGUUAGAGCACACGGCUCAUAACCGUUCGGUCGUCGGUUCGAGUCCGACAGGGUCCA